This 484-nucleotide ribosomal RNA is filed under the name uncultured bacterium. RNAcentral describes it as "partial 16S ribosomal RNA". It matches the Rfam family "Bacterial small subunit ribosomal RNA", at positions 30 to 507 of the family's 1533-position model. The record is from RNAcentral.
AUUGAACGCUGGCGGCAGGCCUAACACAUGCAAGUCGAGCGGAUGAAGGGAGCUUGCUCCUGGAUUCAGCGUCGGACGGGUGAGUAAUGCCUAGGAAUCUGCCUGGUAGUGGGUGAUAACGUCCUGAAACGGGCGCUAAUACCGCAUACGUCCUGCGGGAGAAAGUUGGGGAUCUUCGGACCGCACGCUAUCAGAUGAGCCUAGGUCGGAGUAGCUAGUUGGUGGGUUAAAGGCCUACCAAGGCGACGAUCCGUAACUGGUCUGAGAGGAUGAUCAGUCACACUGGAACUGAGACACGGUCCAGACUCCUACGGGAGGCAGCAGUGGGGAAUAUUGGACAAUGGGCGAAAGCCUGAUCCAGCCAUGCCGCGUGUGUGAAGAAGGUCUUCGGAUUGUAAAGCACUUUAAGUUGGGAGGAAGGGCAGUAAGUUAAUACCUUGCUGUUUUGACGUUACCAACAGAAUAAGCACCGGCUAACUUCGUG